GGGUAUUAUCCGUGCCGUUCUUUCACUGCCAAAAGUGCUUUACAACCCGAAGGCCUUCAUCGCACGCGAGAUGGCUGGAUCAGGGUUCCCCAUUGUCCAAAAUUCCCCACUGCUGCCUCCGUAGGAGCUGGGCCGUGUCCUCGAACCCAGUGUGGCUGGUCGUCCUCUCAAACCAGCUACGGAUCAUCGCCUUGGUGAGCCGUUACCCCAUAACUAGCUAAUCCGAUAUCAGCCGCUCUAAUAGUGCGAGGCCCGAAGGUCCCCGCUUUCCCCGAAGGGCGUGGCGCGGUAUUAGCUACGCUUUCGCGUAGUUAUCCCCCGCUACUAGGCACGUUCCGAUACAUUACUCACCCGUUCGCCACUCGCCACCCAGACCAGUCCGUGCUGCCGUUCGACUUGCAUGUGUAAAGCAUCCGCCAGCGUUCAAUCUGAGCCAUGAUCGAA
RNAcentral lists this unclassified non-coding RNA (444 nucleotides) under uncultured Bordetella sp. Its description in RNAcentral is "partial 16S-23S ribosomal RNA intergenic spacer". Lineage: Bacteria; Pseudomonadati; Pseudomonadota; Betaproteobacteria; Burkholderiales; Alcaligenaceae. The record is from RNAcentral.